UCGGAUUAGCUAGUUGGUGAGUAAUGGCUCACCAAGGCGACGAUCCGUAACUGGUCUGAGAGGAUGAUCAGUCACACUGGAACUGAGACACGGACCAGACUCCUACGGGAGGCAGCAGUGAGGAAUAUUGGACAAUGGGCGCAAGCCUGAUCCAGCCAUGCCGCGUGCAGGAUGACGGUCCUAUGGAUUGUAAACUGCUUUUAUACAGGAAGAAACACUACUUCGUGAAGUAGCUUGACGGUACUGUAAGAAUAAGGAUCGGCUAACUCCGUG
This 273-nucleotide ribosomal RNA is filed under the name uncultured bacterium. RNAcentral's name for it is "partial 16S ribosomal RNA". It matches the Rfam family "Bacterial small subunit ribosomal RNA", at positions 236 to 507 of the family's 1533-position model. The record is from RNAcentral.